Molecule: ribosomal RNA, 468 nt
Filed under: uncultured bacterium
Lineage: Bacteria
Description: partial 16S ribosomal RNA
Rfam family: Bacterial small subunit ribosomal RNA
Source: RNAcentral
GACGAACGCUGGCGGCGUGCUUAACACAUGCAAGUCGAACGGAAAGGCCCUGCUUUUGUGGGGUGCUCGAGUGGCGAACGGGUGAGUAACACGUGAGUAACCUGCCCUUGACUUUGGGAUAACUUCAGGAAACUGGGGCUAAUACCGGAUAGGAGCUCCUGCUGCAUGGGGGGGGUUGGAAAGUUUCGGCGGUUGGGGAUGGACUCGCGGCUUAUCAGCUUGUUGGUGGGGUAGUGGCUUACCAAGGCUUUGACGGGUAGCCGGCCUGAGAGGGUGACCGGCCACCUUGGGCCUGAGGUACGGCCCAGUCUCCUACGGGAGGCAGCAGGGGGGAAUAUUGCACAAUGGGCGGGAGCCUGAUGCAGAAACGCCGCGUGCGGGAUGACGGCCUUCUGGUUGUAAACCGCUUUCGCCUGUGACGAAGCGUGAGUGACGGUAAUGGGUAAAGAAGCACCGGCUAACUACGUG